UGUCGUCAGCUCGUGUUGUGAAAUGUUGGGUUAAGUCCCGCAACGAGCGCAACCCUUAUCCUUUGUUGCCAGCGGUCCGGCCGGGAACUCAAAGGAGACUGCCAGUGAUAAACUGGAGGAAGGUGGGGAUGACGUCAAGUCAUCAUGGCCCUUACGACCAGGGCUACACACGUGCUACAAUGGCGCAUACAAAGAGAAGCGACCUCGCGAGAGCAAGCGGACCUCAUAAAGUGCGUCGUAGUCCGGAUUGGAGUCUGCAACUCGACUCCAUGAAGUCGGAAUCGCUAGUAAUCGUGGAUCAGAAUGCCACGGUGAAUACGUUCCCGGGCCUUGUACACACCGCCCGUCACACCAUGGGAGUGGGUUGCAAAAGAAGUAGGUAGCUUAACCUUCGG
Molecule: ribosomal RNA, 395 nt
Filed under: Escherichia coli
Lineage: Bacteria; Pseudomonadati; Pseudomonadota; Gammaproteobacteria; Enterobacterales; Enterobacteriaceae
Also listed under: 1 other name
Description: bacterial SSU rRNA
Rfam family: Bacterial small subunit ribosomal RNA
Source: RNAcentral